This 904-nucleotide ribosomal RNA is filed under the name uncultured archaeon. RNAcentral describes it as "bacterial SSU rRNA". It matches the Rfam family "Archaeal small subunit ribosomal RNA", at positions 27 to 907 of the family's 1478-position model. The record is from RNAcentral.
CUGCUAUCGGGAUAGGACUAAGACAUGUUAGUCGAGCGUUUCCCAGCCAUGAAGGAGACGCGGCAGACGGCUCAGUAACAUGUGGCUAACCUGCCCUAAGGACAGAGACAACCCCGGGAAACUGGGGCUAAUCCCUGAUAGGUGUGGACUUCUGGAAUGGAUCCACGCCCAAAAGACGUCUGGAUCAUGCUUUGGACGUCGCCUAAGGAUGGGGCCGCAGCCGAUCAGGUUGUUGGCGAGGUAACGGCUCACCAAUCCUAUAACCGGUACGGGCCGCGAGAGCGGUAGCCCGGAGAUGGACACUGAGACAAGGGUCCAGGCCCUACGGGGCGCAGCAGUCGCGAAAACUCCACAAUGCGCGAAAGCGCGAUGGGGCUAUCCCGAGUGCCGUCCGCUGAGGAUGGCUUUUCUCCAGUGUAAGGAGCUGGAGGAAUAAGGAGAGGGCAAGUCUGGUGUCAGCCGCCGCGGUAAUACCAGCUCUCCGAGUGGUAGGGACGUUUAUUGGGCUUAAAGCGUCCGUAGCCGGCUCAGCAAGUCCUCCGUUAAAUCCAGCGAUUCAAUCGUUGGACUGCGGGGGAUACUGUUGGGCUAGGGGACGGGAGAGGCCGACGGUAUUCUCGGAGUAGGGGUGAAAUCCUAUAAUUCCGGGAGGACCACCAGUGGCGAAGGCUGUCGGCUAGAACGAGCUCAACGGUGAGGGACGAAAGCUGGGGGAGCGAACCGGAUUAGAUACCCGGGUAGUCCCAGCUGUAAACGAUGCGGGCUAGGUGUUAGGGUGGCUACGAGCCACUCUAGUGCCGCAGCGAAGGCAUUAAGCCCGCCGCCUGGGGAGUACGGCCGCAAGGCUGAAACUUAAAGGAAUUGGCGGGAGAGCACCACAAGGCGUGAAGCGUGCGGUUUAAUU